CACCUGCAUCGACAUUCAUGGCCAAGCGUCAGCUGCCGUCGUAAGGGGCCGGAAUCGACCCAAUUUCAGGAACAUCGCGACCGCCGCAUUCCCAUCUCGACGCCCGCAACAAAUCACAAGUCGCAAUUCUAAUGCGCUCGCGCCGCGCAGCCCGUGCAAUGAGCACGUCGUCGAGCGCGGCUGGGGGUGAGGGCCGGCCCACAGGGAACAGUGAGCACAUCACGAGCCGCGAAGAGAGUCACACGGUGGAGGUGGACUUACAGAUGCGCUUGAAUUUGGCCUUCAGGGCGUCCUUCUCGCCGCAGUUGGUGAUGUUGAAGAAGAAGUCGGGGUACUCGCUCUGCAGGAACUCCGCGGGAGGCACCGCAGUGCCGACGCCCAACACACAUGCUGGUCCCUCAGCGCGAGGCUGGCCUCUGGGAAGCGCGCUCCUUGUGGCAGCACCCUGAACGUCGACUUCUCCGCUUGGUGCCAUGGGCACGUUUGGGUUCGGAAUGGAUGUUGAGUCCGAGCUGCUCACUCGGGGUUGUCUCGAAGCGGCCGGACAAUGAGCGUUCAAUUUGUUCCGGUGAACUGGCCCUGCAGCCACUGCCUAGGAUCUCUUAACCUGCCAAAAUCAGGGGGCUUAUAUGCAACGCACAAUGUGCCGGCGAGAAGGUGGCCCGAGUUGAGCAGACGUCUCGCUCUGAAUCUGUUAGCUCACAAGUUUGUUGCUCUAUCUGCUACACUUCCUGAAUGCGUUGAGUGCACAGAGAAGUUCUCUGUUGUGCAGCUUCAUUCAGCAUCGCUUUCUAGAUGAGGGGAGUGUGCAGAGUGAAUGUGGUGGCCCACAAGCCAGGGAAGAGCGUUGAAUGAUGUAGGACUUCGACAGGAACAGUGCAGUCUUGGCGACUUUUUUCUUGCGGCUUUUGUUCCUUUUCCAGGCGCCUGUUGGUUUCUUUCAACGUUGACAGCCUUUUAAGAUGACCUGGAGUUUACUUCGGCUGCUGGCUUGUUCGGACCAUCCGCAUGAAGCUUCGAAGACGUCACAAUCCACUUUCAAAAUCCUAGGGAACUAUGACAAUUGGUCCGUAUGGUUGUCAACGAACAGCUGCAGACUUUAGAUUCUUCACUUCAAAUAUAAAUCGUAAGGGAAUCGUCCGGUGGGUUUGCCAUUAUUAGCUCAUACUGGAACAUGUUUCCGUCUGAGUGGAAAUGCAGCAUUUUCCUAUUUGUGAACCAAUACUGUAUGGCCAUAUGAUGACGGGGGUGUCUAGAGCCAUGACACAUGUGCAUUGCCAAUUUUGACCAUCGAUUGGAGAGUCUUAUUGUUAGACUUUACCGCGGUCUUUGACAUGUGGCAUGACCAUUUGGAUAUAUUAAAGAACCUCACGAGAGCGAGAUAGUUGAUUUACAUUCAAAUAGACGCUUUCACAAAGAAUGGAAUUUAACUUAUACGUAUCAGCUCAUGACCCAGGCAGAUAUUAAAUGCAAUUUCUGUGUAAAACAUUUCCAUGCUUUACAAACACAAGCUUUGCAUAUGUGUAGACAAGUUUUGUGAUUGUGAAUUAACAGCAUUUGUUAUUCAUUAUUCAACAAUUUGAUUACGGCAUGUAAUGCUCCUAUUGAUUGAAAACUUCUAAUAUCCACUAUAAAUUUCGUGGACAGGUGAAUUCAAACAAUGUCCUUUUUUCAUUUUUCAUUUUCAUUUGAGAUAUGUUAAUCAUGAAUUCAAUACAUUUUCAUGCGACGGAAUUCAAGAUUUUUUCAUUGAGCAAGGAUUGUGUUUAUGUUGACUAAUUUGUGCUCACAACCAUUUGGUUGGAAUGCAAGAUAACUCACCUAAAUUUUCGAGUUUUUGUACACAUCAAAUUCACACACAACCCAAAAUAGUAUAUCUUUCUAAUUUGAUUCGAUUUGAUUUUUUUAGUUGAUUUAAAAGUUAGAUUCUCUUGGUUGCAAUGGAGGAUCUAAAAACAAUUAAAAAUAUUGAAAAAAUUAAAACUUAAAAUGAAGUUCUUUCAAAAUAAUCUAACUACAUACACUCUAAUUACUAGUCUAACUACACAUCAAGUGCAAAAAAAAUCAACACUAGAUAUUUAUGCGCUAUAAAUUGCAUUUUAAUAAGAGGGGUUUGAAUACCAUGCCAAACUCUAAUAAAUGCCUACUUAUUUAACUAGUUCCAGAUGGACAAAGGAAAUAUGAGAUGACCACACCAAAAAUUUAAAUCCCAAGGCAUAGUCUAUCUAUUAUGAGCAUCGAUAUCCCAAACUCCACAACACUGCAUGCAUGUCGCCUACAAAAUGUCCUUGUUGCAAAGAGUUGAAAAUGCAUAGAUUGAAAGACUUUUCCACCAAAAUAAAAAGAUACAAAAAUAGACAAUUUAGAUAAGCAAGAGUUCUUGUCAACAUUGUAAUAGCUUAAUAGCUUUCAAAUGAUCUAUAAAUAAAAUUGUACUUAUUUUUUGAUAUAUAUAUAUAUAUAUAUAUUUUUUAAUUUUUUUGAAUGUUUACUGUCCUACUUUAGAAACCUGUAAGUUAAUUUAUUAGCAACAAAAGCUCUUUAUUAAACUAGUUACAUGGCCUUAAACUUGACAUUAUUAUAGAAAAAUAAUUUCUUUAUUGGCUCAAAUAAAAUCAUUUCAAUUAGAAAGGCUUAUUGCUUAAAAAUAAACCCUCAUCAAAAAAAUCCUCAUUUACUCUUAAAAUCUUAAUUCUAAGAUCCUAAUCUAAUUAAAUAUUUAUAUGUUUUAAUUGAAUCAUUUAUUUGAAUUCAAAUUUUCAAACUACAAUAACAACAAAUUAAAAACACAUAUUACUAAUGACAUUUAAAAAUUUGAAUUAUCAUCAUAAUCAAAAGGUAUUAUUAGAAUUAAAAAAGAAAAUUAAAUUAAUAAUUAAUUUCUUAAAAUAAACUUUUAAAAAAUCUUAUUUAUGUUUUAAGCAAUGAUUUGUUUUUAAAGCAAUAGUAACAAAAAAAUUCAAUUAAAAUUAAAAAUCUCACUUAUAUUUAUUCUACUUCUUAAAAUAAUUUUUAACUUUGAGUUUAUCAACAAUCCAGUUAUUAAUAUUAACACUAAAUUAUUUUUUAGUAUUUUUAUAUUUAUAUCUUUUAAUAAUAUUUUUUUAUUUUUAUAUAAAAUUUAUAGUAAGAAAGAAUCUCAUUUAAAUAAUUUUCUAUUUUUUUUUAUUCUACAAAAAAAAUUCAUUUAUUGUAAAUACUUAGUUUUGUAUUGUAAGAUCUUGUUUGUAUUCUACUUCAUAUCAAAGACAUGAAUCUUGAAAGAAAAAAAUCCCAAUAUAUUCUUGUAUCAGUCAAAAAGACUUAAAAAUCAAUCAAAGAUGAUAAUAUAUUAAACUAAAUUGACUAUUGCCAAAGAUAAGAAGACUAGAAAGUCUUGAAAUAAGACUAAGAAUUAGAAAAGCAUUGAUAAGAAUGAAGGAAGCUCUACAUUUGCGUCUAUAUAUACUAUCGAACUAGAAGUUGCAUGGCAAUCAUCUAUACGACCGCCAAUAGAUGUUGACUUUAUGAGAUAUAUGUUUUAACUUACAAGGCAAGUUUCUUAUAUGUGCACCAUAUCAUUAGUCUCUUUUAGAAGCUUCCAACAUGUGUGAUAUUUAGUUAAGUUGUUGACCAAAUUUCUAAUUUAUUAAUCAAAUAUAUAUACAUGUAAAAUCAGAACCACAUUAUGAUGCUUCUAAGAAGUUUUUUUACAAGAUAUUAUAAAAUUAAUCUAUAUUUAUUUAUUUCUACUUAAUGAUAUAUAUAAUUAUUGAAAUAUAUACAUAUAUCCAUGAUGAUAAUUUCUCUUUUAGAAAUAAAAAGCAACCAUCAUCUCUCAUGGAUCUUACUAUUUUUCAUCUUGAUUUUGAUAGACAUUGUUGAUAAAAAGCCUCAACUCUCUUAGCUAUAUUUGUAAGAUUCUUUGUUGGUAUUCAUGUAAAUUUAUUAACAACAUCUCUUGUCAAUGAAUAAGUUAUUUUAAUCUAUUUUGGCAGUACCUUCAAUUUAAGACUUCUUCAACCUCUAGUUUUUGAUUAUUAUCCAAUUUUAUAGAAAGAGGUGGCAUUUUUCUUCUUUUUAAGAUAUUCAUUAUCUUAUAUGAUUGAAGAAGAAACACGUAGAGUAUAAGAUGGCUCUUCAUAGAUGCUAGUAGAUAUAAUUGAUAAGCAAUGUCAUUGUUUUCUUCAUAAAUAGGAAAUGGUUUAAGCCUAUGAUAGUCCAACUUGUUACAAAGACAAGUAGUCUUUAUAUUAUAACAAAGUAAUCCUAUUUUAUUGCUCACAUUGAAUUGUGGUUAUUCCUUGUAAUAGGCAUCUAUAUUGAACUUUUGUCAUUCAUUAGCUUUUUUUAAUUGCGCCUUCAUUAUUGCAUGUAGCUUUGAUAAAUAAUUUGCUAAAUCAUCUUUUGCAAGAUUAUCAACUUUUAAAAAGUCAAAAGUAUCAAGUCAUGGAUGAUAACCAUAAUAGAUAAAGAAAGGUAUUUAUUGAAUAGAUGAAUAAAUCAAAUUAUUGUAUGCAAACUUUACCAAUGGCAAAAGAAUUAUCCAAUCAUCUUAAUGAUAGUUGAUAGUACACUUCAAAUAUUACUCCAAAAUUUAAUUCACUUGUUUUGUUUGUCCAUCAAUUUGAAGAUGAAAAGCCAAAAAGAGCUUUACAUUCACAUUUUGAAUCUUAAAAAGGGUUCUCCAAAAUCUUAAUAUAAUUAAGUCUUUCUAUCCAAUAUAGUAUCUUUACACAAUCCAUGAUAGUAAUAGAUGUCAUCAAGAAAAAUCUUAGCCAUUUUUUCACUUGUGAUAGAUUUUGUACAUAGUACAAAAUAUAAAAAUAUAAUUAAAUAAUCUAUUAGUAAAAAUAUGAUAUCAUAUAAAUCCAAGAUCCAAAGAUGUGUGAUAAAAUUCAUAAAAGUACAAGACCAUAAUUGUUCUAAUAUAGGUAAUAUUUUAAGAAGUCCAUAAAGUUGAUGAUGAGGAGUUUUGAAUCUUGAAUAAAUAUCACAUGAUUGUACAAAGCCUUUGAUUGCCUUCUACAUUUGAGACAACCAAAUAUCUCUAGAUAUUACUUCUAAAAUAUUUUUGUAUCUAAUAUAUUUAACUAUUAGAAAGUUAUGAUAAGCUUAAAUAAUAUGUAAUCAUGCUUUGUCUUCCAAAAUGUAUAAGCAUCUCUUAAUAUAGAAUAAUUUAUUCUUAAAUUUAAAUUAAGAAGACUCAUAAGAGUUAUAAUAAUUAUUCUUAAUAUCAUGAAUAAAAAGAUUAGAGGACAUACUUGAUUGAAUUUGCUUAAGAAAAAUUGAAUCAAUAGUUAAUAUUGAUUUUAUUCCUUGAAGGUGAUAAUCAUUUGGCUUCAAGAGAGUAAUUUUUUGUUGACCAAAAUUUUUAUUUUUUUUAUUUGGUGCAAGAUAAGAAUGUCUAGAUAGGACGUUUGUAAUACUUGGUUAUUUUUUGGAUAGAUAAGUGACCUUGAGAUCAAAUCUUCAUAAAAACAUGCUCCAAAAAUUCAAAUCAUAUCUCAAUAUGAAGUACUUGAAGUUCUUGUGAUCCAUAUAUAUAAAGAUUAGACUUAAAAGUUAACCACAUAUUAGUAGCUUGUGGAACAGUGAGCACAUCACGAGCCGCUAAGAGAGUCAUACGGUGGAGGUGGACUUACAGAUGCGCUUGAAUUUGGCCUUCAGGGCGUCCUUCUCGCCGCAGUUGGUGAUGUUGAAGAAGAAGUCGGGGUACUCGCUCUGCAGGAAC
This 5713-nucleotide long non-coding RNA is filed under the name Physcomitrium patens. RNAcentral describes it as "long non-coding RNA (PPAT_LNC001642)". The record is from RNAcentral. Lineage: Eukaryota; Viridiplantae; Streptophyta; Bryopsida; Funariales; Funariaceae.